RNAcentral lists this ribosomal RNA (434 nucleotides) under uncultured bacterium. Its description in RNAcentral is "partial 16S ribosomal RNA". It matches the Rfam family "Bacterial small subunit ribosomal RNA", at positions 341 to 792 of the family's 1533-position model. The record is from RNAcentral.
ACGGAAGGCAGCAGUGGGGAAUAUUGCACAGUGGGGGAAACCCUGAUGCAGCAACGCCGCGUGAAGGAAGACGGUCUUCGGAUUGUAAACUUCUGUUCUUAGUGAAGAUAAUGACGGUAGCUAAGGAGCAAGCCACGGCUAACUACGUGCCAGCAGCCGCGGUAAUACGUAGGUGGCAAGCGUUGUCCGGAAUUACUGGGUGUAAAGGGAGCGCAGGCGGGAAAUCAAGUUGGAUGUGAAAUGUCGGGGCUUAACCUCGGAACUGCAUCCAAAACUGAUUUUCUUGAGUGAAGUAGAGGUAGGCGGAAUUCCGAGUGUAGCGGUGAAAUGCGUAGAUAUUCGGAGGAACACCAGUGGCGAAGGCGAUCUACUGGACGAUAACUGACGCUGAGGCGCGAAAGCGUGGGGAGCAAACAGGAUUAGAUACCCUGGUA